RNAcentral lists this long non-coding RNA (995 nucleotides) under Portunus trituberculatus (swimming crab). Its description in RNAcentral is "uncharacterized LOC123516544, transcript variant X3". The record is from RNAcentral. Lineage: Eukaryota; Metazoa; Arthropoda; Malacostraca; Decapoda; Portunidae.
GGCUCACUUGCAACUGUUUGGAAAAGAGAGAGAGAGGCCUUUGAAAAUAGUGAAGGUGCACAGUGUUUCAAAAUAUAGGCAGUACGACUGUUCCUGGCCCGUUUUUGAUAAAGACUCGGGAACGGGACUGAGGAAAGGAAACAAUGGUAUAUAUCUUAAUUGAAAACGUAAGGCAGACGCACCUGACGGAGGGACAGUCAGUAAGGACAGGUAGCGCUGGGAAGGUAGUCUCAAGAUUUCAAAGUUUAUCAAAGAAGGUGGGAGGAAGUACAAAAUAAGGGGUGAGACAGGACAUGGUACAAAUACAUAGAAAUACAGCAAGGAAGGUAGGGAAGCGUCACGCGUGUCUAGACUCUAGUUGUUACAUUAGCCGCCUACCAGCAGCCUGUCUUGCCACACCACAAUUACCAGUGAGGUCAUAUUCCGGCAACUUCUCAAUUCCUGCACCAGAAAGGCAGACUACCGAAGGAAGGGAGGAUGACAAGGACUAGAGGAUGAGUUUGAGGACCACCAGGGGAAGACGGGAGCACCAUCUCAAACUACAAGGUUGAUAAUGUUGUCCAGAACUCUGCACACAAUGCCUGGUGUGGGAAGCUGGAAGAAGGUGACAAGUUAGGACACAGGAUAAACCAAGGAGGAGCAAGUGAACACCAAGGAAUUUACAGGCAAGAACUUUAGUUAAAUUUGACUAGUUCUGGAGUCUUGAUUUAUUGCUGAAGCUUGAAUAUACUUGUUGAUAAUGUAGAAACUAUUACUGUGAUAUAGUUGGUGUAUUAUUAGUAUACAGUGCUGGUCGUCUAGUAAGAAUAUGUCUCCAUUAUGAAAGCAACAUGCUCAUAUGAUAAAAGAAUCACCCUCAAGUAUAUGGCAUGAAUUCAGCAAGACCAAAGCAAAGGUAUGCCUCUGGGAGGGGGUGAAGCUUAGUCUGGAGUCCCCACACACAAUUUCUGUCUCAUCAGUGGCACAGUGUGAGGUAGAUUUUAAAGUGAUUUUUU